GACAGAGGGCCCGAGCGUUGUUCGGAUUCAUUGGGCGUAAAGGGUGUGUAGGAGGCUAGGUAAGUCAGGUGUGAAAUCUCAGAGCUUAACUCUGAAACUGCGCUUGAUACUGCUUGGCUAGAGGAUCGGAGGGGGUAACGGAAUUUAUGGUGUAGCAGUGAAAUGCGUAGAUAUCAUAAGGAACACCGGUGGCGAAGGCGGUUACCUGGAAGAUUCCUGACUCUGAAACACGAAAGCCAGGGGAGCAAACGGG
RNAcentral lists this ribosomal RNA (253 nucleotides) under uncultured bacterium. RNAcentral's name for it is "partial 16S ribosomal RNA". It matches the Rfam family "Bacterial small subunit ribosomal RNA", at positions 524 to 776 of the family's 1533-position model. The record is from RNAcentral.